GAUGAACGCUGGCGGCGUGCCUAAUACAUGCAAGUCGAGCGAACAGACGAGGAGCUUGCUCCUCUGACGUUAGCGGCGGACGGGUGAGUAACACGUGGAUAACCUACCUAUAAGACUGGGAUAACUUCGGGAAACCGGAGCUAAUACCGGAUAAUAUAUUGAACCGCAUGGUUCAAUAGUGAAAGACGGUUUUGCUGUCACUUAUAGAUGGAUCCGCGCCGCAUUAGCUAGUUGGUAAGGUAACGGCUUACCAAGGCGACGAUGCGUAGCCGACCUGAGAGGGUGAUCGGCCACACUGGACCUGAGACACGGUCCAGCCUCCUACGGGAGGCAGCAGUAGGGAAUCUUCCGCAAUGGGCGAAAGCCUGACGGAGCAACGCCGCGUGAGUGAUGAAGGUCUUCGGAUCGUAAAACUCUGUUAUUAGGGAAGAACAAAUGUGUAAGUAACUAUGCACGUCUUGACGGUACCUAAGCAGAAAGCCACGGCUAACUACGU
RNAcentral lists this ribosomal RNA (496 nucleotides) under uncultured bacterium. RNAcentral describes it as "partial 16S ribosomal RNA". It matches the Rfam family "Bacterial small subunit ribosomal RNA", at positions 28 to 506 of the family's 1533-position model. The record is from RNAcentral.